RNAcentral lists this non-coding RNA (97 nucleotides) under Stenotrophomonas maltophilia. The record is from RNAcentral. Lineage: Bacteria; Pseudomonadati; Pseudomonadota; Gammaproteobacteria; Lysobacterales; Lysobacteraceae. RNAcentral also lists the same sequence under 1 other name.
UUCCAUGGCGGGCGGUGCGUGGAGGUGGGCGCAAGCCCACCGCCCGGGUAUAGCACUGACUCACGGGAUUUCCAGCCACGCACCGUCCGCCGCCUUG